GAUGAACGCUGGCGGCGUGCUUAACACAUGCAAGUCGAACGAAGAUGCCGGAGUGCUUGCACUUUGGCAGACUGAGUGGCGGACGGGUGAGUAACGCGUGGGUAACCUGCCUUAUACAGGGGGAUAACAGUUGGAAACGACUGCUAAUACCGCAUAAGCGCACGGUAUCGCAUGAUACAGUGUGAAAAACUCCGGUGGUAUAAGAUGGACCCGCGUCUGAUUAGCUUGUUGGUGAGGUAACGGCCCACCAAGGCGACGAUCAGUAGCCGGCCUGAGAGGGUGAACGGCCACAUUGGGACUGAGACACGGCCCAAACUCCUACGGGAGGCAGCAGUGGGGAAUAUUGCACAAUGGGGGAAACCCUGAUGCAGCGACGCCGCGUGAGUGAUGAAGUAUUUCGGUAUGUAAAACUCUAUCAGCAGGAGAUAAUGACGGUACCUGACUAAGAAGCACCGGCUAAAUACGUGCCAGCAGCCGCGGU
Molecule: ribosomal RNA, 481 nt
Filed under: uncultured bacterium
Lineage: Bacteria
Description: bacterial SSU rRNA
Rfam family: Bacterial small subunit ribosomal RNA
Source: RNAcentral